RNAcentral lists this ribosomal RNA (567 nucleotides) under Microbacterium binotii. RNAcentral's name for it is "bacterial SSU rRNA". It matches the Rfam family "Bacterial small subunit ribosomal RNA", at positions 73 to 653 of the family's 1533-position model. The record is from RNAcentral. Lineage: Bacteria; Bacillati; Actinomycetota; Actinomycetes; Micrococcales; Microbacteriaceae.
GCAGAGCUUGCUCUGUGGAUCAGUGGCGAACGGGUGAGUAACACGUGAGCAACCUGCCCUGGACUCUGGGAUAAGCGCUGGAAACGGCGUCUAAUACUGGAUACGAGACGUGGCCGCAUGGUCAACGUUUGGAAAGAUUUUUUGGUUCAGGAUGGGCUCGCGGCCUAUCAGCUUGUUGGUGAGGUAAUGGCUCACCAAGGCGUCGACGGGUAGCCGGCCUGAGAGGGUGACCGGCCACACUGGGACUGAGACACGGCCCAGACUCCUACGGGAGGCAGCAGUGGGGAAUAUUGCACAAUGGGCGAAAGCCUGAUGCAGCAACGCCGCGUGAGGGAUGACGGCCUUCGGGUUGUAAACCUCUUUUAGCAAGGAAGAAGCGAAAGUGACGGUACUUGCAGAAAAAGCGCCGGCUAACUACGUGCCAGCAGCCGCGGUAAUACGUAGGGCGCAAGCGUUAUCCGGAAUUAUUGGGCGUAAAGAGCUCGUAGGCGGUUUGUCGCGUCUGCUGUGAAAACUGGAGGCUCAACCUCCAGCCUGCAGUGGGUACGGGCAGACUAGAGUGCGGUA